RNAcentral lists this ribosomal RNA (253 nucleotides) under uncultured bacterium. RNAcentral's name for it is "partial 16S ribosomal RNA". It matches the Rfam family "Bacterial small subunit ribosomal RNA", at positions 524 to 776 of the family's 1533-position model. The record is from RNAcentral.
UACGUAGGGGGCAAGCGUUGUCCGGAUUCAUUGGGCGUAAAGAGCGUGUAGGCGGCCAGGUAGGUCGGUUGUGAAAACUGGAGGCUCAACCUUCAGAGGUCGACCGAAACCAUCUGGCUAGAGUCCGGGAGAGGAGAGUGGAAUUCCUGGUGUAGCGGUGAAAUGCGCAGAUAUCAGGAAGAACACCCGUGGCGAAAGCGGCUCUCUGGACCAUUACUGACGCUGAGGCGCGAAAGCGUGGGGAGCAAACAGG